Molecule: long non-coding RNA, 914 nt
Filed under: Gossypium barbadense (sea-island cotton)
Lineage: Eukaryota; Viridiplantae; Streptophyta; Magnoliopsida; Malvales; Malvaceae
Description: long non-coding RNA (GBAR_LNC023467)
Source: RNAcentral
AAAAAAGAUCAUUCUGUUUCUUUUUUCUAAAAGAAAAGCAGUGUCUCUCGUUUUUUUUAACCCAUUAUUUGGCCGCCAUUUAACCGUGCGCCAAGGCCCCGAUUGUGACGGAGAUGGCACCGGCUCGACGACUUCGGCGAUUAGGUGAGUUUCCCCUUUCCCUUUUACAUUUUAAGAGAAAAAUAACUAAAAAAUAAAGGAAAAAAAAUAAAAACAAAACCGAUAACUAAGAAUGACGAACACCAAAUAAAUAAAUGGAAAAAAAACCUUUUUGUAUUCAAAAAUCUCUUUAUAUCUCCCCCUUUUACACUGAAAAUAUUGGCCUUUUAUAGCCGAAAAUGGAAAAGAAAACUAAAUCCAAACAAAUCUAUUCGGUUGUUUGUUGGCUCGAUUUUUGCUCUUCUCUUUCGCUUGUUGCAGGUACGUGCUUGAGGAGCGACAUUUGCGGAGGUGUGGCGUGCGUAGAGGAGCGCGAAGAGGCAGUAGUUGCGGCGCCAGAUUGCUAGUGGCCGCUGGGGCAGAAGCAGCUACGGCGCUGAAGCAGAAAGGGCUAGGGUUUCUGCACUGGGCUAGGGUUAAUGUAAUUGGGCUGAAUUUUUGGGUUUAGUCUGCAGAUGGGUAAUUAGGUUAAUUUUGGGCCUUAAAAUGUCUUACGGGCCUGGGCAUAGAAAUUGGGUAUUACAGGUAUCAAAUUGGAAUAUUUGUUAUAGUAAAAAGGCCACUCAUGAAAUUAUCCGUUUAUAAUUUCUUUGUAUUUUUCUUUUGUUAUGGAAUAUAUUAUUAUAUUAAACAUUUAAUAUAAAAUUUCGGAUAAUUUCAAUAGACGUUCCCAAGCUAUGACCAAAAUUUUAAAAUAAUCUUUAAACUUCAAAAUAUUUAAAAUUUAUCUUUAAAGUGUCAAUAUCGUAUCAUCU